Non-coding RNA from Caenorhabditis elegans, 21 nucleotides. Lineage: Eukaryota; Metazoa; Nematoda; Chromadorea; Rhabditida; Rhabditidae. The record is from Ensembl.
UGAAUGCGUUCAACUCACAAU